RNAcentral lists this ribosomal RNA (259 nucleotides) under uncultured bacterium. Its description in RNAcentral is "partial 16S ribosomal RNA". It matches the Rfam family "Bacterial small subunit ribosomal RNA", at positions 524 to 778 of the family's 1533-position model. The record is from RNAcentral.
UACGUAGGGUGCGAGCGUUAAUCGGAAUUACUGGGCGUAAAGCGUGCGCAGGCGGUUUUGUAAGCCAGAUGUGAAAUCCCCGGGCUUAACCUGGGAAUGGCAUUUGGGACUGCAAGGCUGGAGUGCGGCAGAGGAGACUGGAAUUCCUGGUGUAGCAGUGAAAUGCGCAGAUAUCAGGAAGAACACCCGUGGCGAAAGCGGCUCCUCUGGAAACGGGUACUGAGGCUGAGACGCGAAAAGCGUGGGGAGCGAAACGGGG